This 1143-nucleotide long non-coding RNA is filed under the name Phasianus colchicus (ring-necked pheasant). Its description in RNAcentral is "lncRNA (ENSPCLG00000018622.1)". Lineage: Eukaryota; Metazoa; Chordata; Aves; Galliformes; Phasianidae. The record is from RNAcentral.
CCCGGCUCUGUUAUGUAAACAUAGAGUAAAGGGGACGGGGCCGCUCUUAAAGGGGCCGCGCUGAGGCGAUGCUGUUUUUCUGCCAUUCCUGGUGAAGAGGUGAAAUGGAAAAAGCCAGCCAAUCUCACAGGGCUGCGGAAUGGAGAUCUUCCCAGGGGCUGUGCGAAGAAGACAAGGUUUUAUUAAAGACAGAGAGCUGAAUUAUUACGGAUUUAUCUUCUUCGUUGCCCUAACAAAAUAGAAAAGAAAGCCAAGCUCACUUUUUGGAGACUUUCUUACCGAAGCACUGAUUUUCUUCCUGCAUCUCCCAAGGACCAAAAACUCUCAGCACCAAAAACCUGCUUUUAAUUUGCUGGUGAGAGCAACGAGGUAGAGAUGGAGCGAGGAGCUGCCCCACAUCCCCUACAGUCACAGCUGCAGAAUGUCUCCACAUGGCAGCUUUUUUGGGGAGCAUCCUCCAGCUUUCUCACAGCAGCUUCCUGGUGCACCUUUCAGCAGGAAUAUCCAGCAAAGCCAGGAAGGCAUUCAAAUCAGUGUCCAAAGAAGAAUCCUGAACACGAAGAAAUAGUGCAUACCCAUUUGUUUUUAAAAUGUGAUUUAAAAAUAUAUAUUUAAAAUACAGGAAGAUUAAUAAGGCUGUAAUUCAGCAAAGUGCUUACAGAUGUGCUGGGCUCAAAGUAAUUCAGCGCUUUCAUGAUUCAGGACUUAGGGAGUGAGCUUGAAAUACAGCAAAAGUACUGAAAGACAUAAUUUGCUGUUGUACCUGAGGCUUGUGUUGCACACAAAGCCGACAGGACACACAUCAGGUCUGGUGAUAUACAGGUGCACAGGUUUCCGUUGCAUUCCUGUGCAGCACCAUGCUGUGUAAUGGUCCUUGAUUCACAGAAACACCUAAAAUUUAGAAAGGGAAAUGACAUGAGGAAAAAAGUGGAAGAGUGAAAAGCAUGACAUGAUUUCAAAUCCCGCAGCAGCAGCUUAAGAAUGAGUUACAGGCUUGGGAUUAACACAGAGCAGUCCUUGCUAAAGACCCUACCAGAUUUUUACAAAGCAGUCUAGUGAAGCAGCAGAGUUGAAAAAGCAGCUAUCAAAUAACUGUAUCUAAGCAGGGCAAAGAGAAUAAAGGCAUAAACAGCAUCGAAUACA